Long non-coding RNA from Ostrinia furnacalis (Asian corn borer), 1537 nucleotides. RefSeq lists it as uncharacterized. The record is from RefSeq and is a predicted model, not a curated record. Lineage: Eukaryota; Metazoa; Arthropoda; Insecta; Lepidoptera; Crambidae. The transcript is spliced from 2 exons.
CCUGCCGAAUAUAAAGGUACACGCUUACUUCGCUCCCGUCACGCCGCCCGUCGCCGGCGCCGCGCGCCCGCGGUACUGCCGCUGCUGCAAUAUUAUAUGAGCCGCGGGUCCAUCGCAAAUCACAGUGUGUUGAUCGGCGAGCGCCGUCGGAUUGCAUCACCGGCCAUUUGUGGCCGCAAGAUAUUGAUAAACCCUGUCGUGUUGCAGUGAUAUAAAAGUGAAAUGAAGUGACAAAGUGUUGAGAGCUUAGUGACUGUGCGCUUUAUAAGAGCUAUUUAAGUUGCUGCUAUAGAACUGUGGAUUAUUUUGCGUAAAGACGAUUUUUUCCCAGUUAAAAAAAGGAAUAUGCAAAUGAAACGAAAUGUUUUUCCGUUAGUGUCGAGUAGUAUUUCAACGAAAUAAAAUUCAAAAUUGAAAUAACUUAUAAAAUUAUAAGUUUUGAACGAAAUUGUGGUUAAUGAUUUUAGAAUAGUUUUUAAACGUAUUACAAACUACAAUUAAAAUUGGAUUUCGUUCAAAAUCAGGUUUAACGUAUAGUAUGGAAUGGGAUCAUAGUAUGUUGGCAACGUACCUAUUGGAAAAAUAUAACGUCCAUCCAUACAUGAAAAAGUCAAGUUCUUUAAAAUUGUGCAACACUUUUAAAGCGUAAAAAAAGCAUUUUUAAAAUAGUCAUUAUUUUAAGUUAACGCGUUUAGGGUUUAUCGAUGUGGUGGGAACAUUGGGAACAUACGAAUUUUCGAACGACAGGGCUUCUGUGUUGCCCUCUUUAGGGUAGCCAUAUUGGUUACGUUUAUGUCAAUAUUUGACAGUGAUUUGGCCAAAAAUUUGGUGAUUGGUCUAAUAAAUCAAUGUUUUAAAACCACAUGCAACUAAUUUACGUAGCUAUGACGUAAGUGUCUUAAAAUUAAGAAGGGAUAGGCAAUUUUGCUAUUACAAACUAAUGUUUGCAGUUGGCCAGUAUGGGAGGACGUGUCUUCCAACUACAAAGUUAUGUUUGUUUUUGAAUUUGGCUAAACCAAUGUUCAUUUGGUUUCAAAAACUGAUAUUUUAGGUAAAUAAUGGAAGAAAAAGAGUACGAAUCCCUCAGUAUGCAAGUCCGAAUAACUUUUGACCGGGUAAAGUUGUCUGUGGUUUAAACAAAUGACCAAUGGCCAUAUUGGCUGAGUCUUUGUCUAUGCCUAUAAUAGAUGUAGUUGACAACCAUAUGGUCACCUUUCAAGUAAAUGUGGUAGACAUUUGAGUGGGCGACUUUUUCUUCUUCCAACGUUUAUGGUUGAAUCUAUAGAAAUAUUGUGGGAGGCUACUGUGAUAUUGGGCUACCAUCACAUAAAAAUUAUGGAGGUAUGUACAGGGAUGUUGUAUUGUAGAACUUAAGGGGGUAGUUGUAAAUAUAAAAUUAUGAGGGUACUUUGACAAAAUGUAUUUCGUUGAUGCUUGGAGAAAGAGAAGUAAAAUUAACUAAAAUAUAAAAAGGCUACUUGUCAAACAAAAAAUGCAUUUAAUGUACUUUAGUAAGAAAGUGAAACGAAGAAAACUG